CCUACGGGUGGCAGCAGUGGGGAAUAUUGGACAAUGGGCGAAAGCCUGAUCCAGCCAUGCCGCGUGUGUGAAGAAGGCCUUCGGGUUGUAAAGCACUUUCAGUGGGGAAGAAAGCCUUGGGGCUAAUACCCUCGAGGAAGGACAUCACCCACAGAAGAAGCACCGGCUAACUCCGUGCCAGCAGCCGCGGUAAUACGGAGGGUGCGAGCGUUAAUCGGAAUUACUGGGCGUAAAGCGCGCGUAGGCGGUCUGAUAAGCCGGUUGUGAAAGCCCCGGGCUCAACCUGGGAACGGCAUCCGGAACUGUCAGGCUAGAGUGCAGGAGAGGAAGGUAGAAUUCCCGGUGUAGCGGUGAAAUGCGUAGAGAUCGGGAGGAAUACCAGUGGCGAAGGCGGCCUUCUGGACUGACACUGACGCUGAGGUGCGAAAGCGUGGGUAGCGAACAGGAUUAGAUACCCUUGUAGUC
Molecule: ribosomal RNA, 465 nt
Filed under: Vreelandella stevensii
Lineage: Bacteria; Pseudomonadati; Pseudomonadota; Gammaproteobacteria; Oceanospirillales; Halomonadaceae
Description: partial 16S ribosomal RNA
Rfam family: Bacterial small subunit ribosomal RNA
Source: RNAcentral